This 471-nucleotide ribosomal RNA is filed under the name uncultured bacterium. RNAcentral describes it as "partial 16S ribosomal RNA". It matches the Rfam family "Bacterial small subunit ribosomal RNA", at positions 28 to 506 of the family's 1533-position model. The record is from RNAcentral.
GACGAACGCUGGCGGCGUGCUUAACACAUGCAAGUCGAACGCUGAAGCUUGGUGCUUGCACUGGGUGGAUGAGUGGCGAACGGGUGAGUAAUACGUGAGUAACCUGCCCUUGACUCUGGGAUAAGCCUGGGAAACUGGGUCUAAUACUGGAUAUGACAUGCCACUGCAUGGUGGUGUGUGGAAAGGGUUUUACUGGUUUUGGAUGGGCUCACGGCCUAUCAGCUUUUUGGUGGGGUAAUGGCCUACCAAGGCGACGACGGGUAGCCGGCCUGAGAGGGUGACCGGCCACACUGGGACUGAGACACGGCCCAGACUCCUACGGGAGGCAGCAGUGGGGAAUAUUGCACAAUGGGCGGAAGCCUGAUGCAGCGACGCCGCGUGAGGGAUGACGGCCUUCGGGUUGUAAACCUCUUUCAGCACGGAAGAAGCGAGAGUGACGGUACGUGCAGAAGAAGCGCCGGCUAACUACGU